GAAGAGUUUGAUCAUGGCUCAGAUUGAACGCUGGCGGCAGGCCUAACACAUGCAAGUCGAACGGUAACAGGAAGCAGCUUGCUGCUUUGCUGACGAGUGGCGGACGGGUGAGUAAUGUCUGGGAAACUGCCUGAUGGAGGGGGAUAACUACUGGAAACGGUGGCUAAUACCGCAUAACGUCGCAAGACCAAAGAGGGGGACCUUCGGGCCUCUUGCCAUCAGAUGUGCCCAGAUGGGAUUAGCUUGUUGGUGAGGUAACGGCUCACCAAGGCGACGAUCCCUAGCUGGUCUGAGAGGAUGACCAGCCACACUGGAACUGAGACACGGUCCAGACUCCUACGGGAGGCAGCAGUGGGGAAUAUUGCACAAUGGGCGCAAGCCUGAUGCAGCCAUGCCGCGUGUAUGAAGAAGGCCUUCGGGUUGUAAAGUACUUUCAGCGGGGAGGAAGGUGUUGUGGUUAAUAACCGCAGCAAUUGACGUUACCCGCAGAAGAAGCACCGGCUAACUCCGUGCCAGCAGCCGCGGUAAUACGGAGGGUGCAAGCGUUAAUCGGAAUUACUGGGCGUAAAGCGCACGCAGGCGGUCUGUCAAGUCGGAUGUGAAAUCCCCGGGCUCAACCUGGGAACUGCAUUCGAAACUGGCAGGCUUGAGUCUUGUAGAGGGGGGUAGAAUUCCAGGUGUAGCGGUGAAAUGCGUAGAGAUCUGGAGG
Molecule: ribosomal RNA, 709 nt
Filed under: Salmonella enterica subsp. enterica serovar Oranienburg
Lineage: Bacteria; Pseudomonadati; Pseudomonadota; Gammaproteobacteria; Enterobacterales; Enterobacteriaceae
Description: bacterial SSU rRNA
Rfam family: Bacterial small subunit ribosomal RNA
Source: RNAcentral